Molecule: long non-coding RNA, 300 nt
Organism: Electrophorus electricus (electric eel)
Lineage: Eukaryota; Metazoa; Chordata; Actinopteri; Gymnotiformes; Gymnotidae
Source: RefSeq, a predicted model, not a curated record
ACUGCACUCCUGCGGCUGGAUUGAUCUCUUCCUGUGGCCUCCGCGUGAGCGAUUGAGGGAUUGGCACUAUGAAAAUGGACGAAAAUAAAGAUCACAGAGGGAGCCAAGCAGGCACCAAAGGAAAGAAAUCAGACUCAAUAGAUACAUCUUGAACGGCCUUAGGCGGGAGCUCGAUGUCAUGUCCUAGCACGGGGUCUGAUAGCUGUACGCCUCUUAAGGGAAGAGAGGCCUCACUGAGCUGACGUGCUUGAUGAAAAAGGGCUUUCAAGGAUUAGCAUGAAAUAAAUCUUUUCGAAUCUC